AACGCUGGCGGCAUGCCUUACACAUGCAAGUCGAACGGCAGCACGGGAGCAAUCCUGGUGGCGAGUGGCGAACGGUGAGUAAUAUAUCGGAACGUGCCCAGUCGUGGGGGAUAACGUAGCGAAAGCUACGCUAAUACCGCAUACGAUCUAUGGAUGAAAGCGGGGGAUCGCAAGACCUCGCGCGAUUGGAGCGGCCGAUAUCAGAUUAGGUAGUUGGUGAGGUAAAGGCUCACCAAGCCGACGAUCUGUAGCUGGUCUGAGAGGACGACCAGCCACACUGGGACUGAGACACGGCCCAGACUCCUACGGGAGGCAGCAGUGGGGAAUUUUGGACAAUGGGCGCAAGCCUGAUCCAGCAAUGCCGCGUGCAGGAUGAAGGCCUUCGGGUUGUAAACUGCUUUUGUACGGAACGAAACGGUGAGCUCUAAUACAGUUUGCUAAUGACGGUACCGUAAGAAUAAGCACCGGCUAACUACGUG
This 479-nucleotide ribosomal RNA is filed under the name uncultured bacterium. RNAcentral's name for it is "bacterial SSU rRNA". It matches the Rfam family "Bacterial small subunit ribosomal RNA", at positions 32 to 507 of the family's 1533-position model. The record is from RNAcentral.